Molecule: ribosomal RNA, 492 nt
Filed under: uncultured bacterium
Lineage: Bacteria
Description: partial 16S ribosomal RNA
Rfam family: Bacterial small subunit ribosomal RNA
Source: RNAcentral
AGUGAACGCUGGCGGUAGGCCUAACACAUGCAAGUCGAACGGCAGCACAGUAAGAGCUUGCUCUUACGGGUGGCGAGUGGCGGACGGGUGAGGAAUACAUCGGAAUCUACUUUUUCGUGGGGGAUCACGUAGGGAAACUUACGCUAAUACCGCAUACGACCUACGGGUGAAAGCAGGGGAUCUUCGGACCUUGCGCGAUUGAAUGAGCCGAUGUCGGAUUAGCUAGUUGGCGGGGUAAAGGCCCACCAAGGCGACGAUCCGUAGCUGGUCUGAGAGGAUGAUCGGCCACACUGGAACUGAGACACGGUCCAGACUCCUACGAGAGGCAGCAGUGGGGAAUAUUGGACAAUGGGCGCAAGCCUGAUCCAGCCAUACCGCGUGGGUGAAGAAGGCCUUCGGGUUGUAAAGCCCUUUUGUUGGGAAAGAAAAGCAGCAGGUUAAUACCCCGCUGUUCUGACGGUACCCAAAGAAUAAGCACCGGCUAACUUCGUG